RNAcentral lists this ribosomal RNA (1364 nucleotides) under uncultured bacterium. RNAcentral's name for it is "bacterial SSU rRNA". It matches the Rfam family "Bacterial small subunit ribosomal RNA", at positions 28 to 1387 of the family's 1533-position model. The record is from RNAcentral.
GAUGAACGCUGGCGGCGUGCUUAACACAUGCAAGUCGAACGAUGAAGCUGGUGCUUGCACUGGUGGAUUAGUGGCGAACGGGUGAGUAACACGUGAGCAACCUGCCCCUGACUCUGGGAUAAGCGCUGGAAACGGUGUCUAAUACUGGAUAUGUCCUAUCGCCGCAUGGUGUGUAGGUGGAAAGAUUUUUUGGUUGGGGAUGGGCUCGCGGCCUAUCAGCUUGUUGGUGGGGUAAUGGCUCACCAAGGCGUCGACGGGUAGCCGGCCUGAGAGGGUGACCGGCCACACUGGGACUGAGACACGGCCCAGACUCCUACGGGAGGCAGCAGUGGGGAAUAUUGCACAAUGGGCGAAAGCCUGAUGCAGCAACGCCGCGUGAGGGAUGACGGCCUUCGGGUUGUAAACCUCUUUUGUCAGGGAAGAAGCCUUUGGGUGACGGUACCUGGAGAAAAAGCACCGGCUAACUACGUGCCAGCAGCCGCGGUAAUACGUAGGGUGCAAGCGUUAUCCGGAAUUAUUGGGCGUAAAGAGCUCGUAGGCGGUUUGUCGCGUCUGCUGUGAAAACUGGGGGGCUCAACUCCUAGCUUGCAGUGGGUACGGGCAGACUUGAGUGCGGUAGGGGAGAUCGGAAUUCCUGGUGUAGCGGUGGAAUGCGCAGAUAUCAGGAGGAACACCCGGAUGGCGAAAGGCCAGAUCUCUGGGCCGUUACUGACCGCUGAGGAGCCGAAAGGGUGGGGGAGCGAACAGGCUUUAGAUACCCUGGUAGUCCACCCCGUAAAACGUUGGGAACUAGUUGUGGGGUCCCUUUCCACGGAUUCCGUGACGCAGCUAACGCAUUAAGUUCCCCGCCUGGGGAGUACGGCCGCAAGGCUAAAACUCAAAGGAAUUGACGGGGACCCGCACAAGCGGCGGAGCAUGCGGAUUAAUUCGAUGCAACGCGAAGAACCUUACCAAGGCUUGACAUAUUCGAGAACACCCUAGAAAUAGGGGACUCUUUGGACACUCGUUUACAGGUGGUGCAUGGUUGUCGUCAGCUCGUGUCGUGAGAUGUUGGGUUAAGUCCCGCAACGAGCGCAACCCUCGUUCUCUGUUGCCAGCACGUUAUGGUGGGAACUCAGGGGAUACUGCCGGGGUCAACUCGGAGGAAGGUGGGGAUGACGUCAAAUCAUCAUGCCCCUUAUGUCUUGGGCUUCACGCAUGCUACAAUGGCCGGUACAAUGGGCUGCGAUACCGUGAGGUGGAGCGAAUCCCAAAAAGCCGGUCCCAGUUCGGAUCGUAGUCUGCAACUCGACUACGUGAAGUCGGAGUCGCUAGUAAUCGCAGAUCAGCAACGCUGCGGUGAAUACGUUCCCGGGUCUUGUACA